GAGGGUACAGCUCAGUGGUAGAGCGUGUGCUUAGCAUGCACAAGGUCCUGGGUUCAAUCCCCAGUACCUCCA
RNAcentral lists this transfer RNA (72 nucleotides) under Camelus bactrianus (Bactrian camel). It matches the Rfam family "tRNA". From Rfam's summary of the family: Transfer RNA (tRNA) molecules are approximately 80 nucleotides in length. RNAcentral also lists the same sequence under 3 other names. The record is from Rfam by way of RNAcentral. Lineage: Eukaryota; Metazoa; Chordata; Mammalia; Artiodactyla; Camelidae.